This 465-nucleotide ribosomal RNA is filed under the name Vreelandella stevensii. RNAcentral's name for it is "partial 16S ribosomal RNA". It matches the Rfam family "Bacterial small subunit ribosomal RNA", at positions 338 to 795 of the family's 1533-position model. The record is from RNAcentral. Lineage: Bacteria; Pseudomonadati; Pseudomonadota; Gammaproteobacteria; Oceanospirillales; Halomonadaceae.
CCUACGGGCGGCUGCAGUGGGGAAUAUUGGACAAUGGGGGGAACCCUGAUCCAGCCAUGCCGCGUGUGUGAAGAAGGCCCUCGGGUUGUAAAGCACUUUCAGUGAGGAAGAACGCCUGGUGGUUAAUACCCAUCAGGAAAGACAUCACUCACAGAAGAAGCACCGGCUAACUCCGUGCCAGCAGCCGCGGUAAUACGGAGGGUGCGAGCGUUAAUCGGAAUUACUGGGCGUAAAGCGCGCGUAGGUGGCUUGAUAAGCCGGUUGUGAAAGCCCCGGGCUCAACCUGGGAACGGCAUCCGGAACUGUCAAGCUAGAGUGCAGGAGAGGAAGGUGGAAUUCCCGGUGUAGCGGUGAAAUGCGUAGAGAUCGGGAGGAAUACCAGUGGCGAAGGCGGCCUUCUGGACUGACACUGACACUGAGGUGCGAAAGCGUGGGUAGCAAACAGGAUUAGAUACCCUUGUAGUC